CAAAGGAAGCGAUUCCGGCGGGGGAUGGGCAUGCGGCGCAUUAGCUAGUCGGCGGGGUAACGGCCCACCGAGGCGACGAUGCGUAGGGGUUCUGAGAGGAAGGUCCCCCACACUGGUACUGAGACACGGACCAGACUCCUACGGGAGGCAGCAGUGAGGAAUAUUGGUCAAUGGGCGGGAGCCUGAACCAGCCAAGUCGCGUGAGGGAAGACGGUCCUACGGAUUGUAAACCUCUUUUGCCGGGGAGCAACGGGGUCCUUGCGAGGGCCCGAUGAGAGUACCCGGAGAAAAAGCAUCGGCUAACUCCGUGCCAGCAGCCGCGGUAAUACGGAGGAUGCGAGCGUUAUCCGGAUUUAUUGGGUUUAAAGGGUGCGUAGGCGGGCUGUUAAGUCAGCGGUCAAAUGUCGGGGCUCAACCCCGGCCUGCCGUUGAAACUGGCGGCCUCGAGUGGGCGAGAAGUAUGCGGAAUGCGUGGUGUAGCGGUGAAAUGUAUAGAUAUCACGCAGAACUCCGAUUGCGAAGGCAGCAUACCGGCGCCCGACUGACGCUGAGGCACGAAAGCGUGGGUAUCGAACAGGAUUAGAUACCCUGGUAGUCCACGCAGUAAACGAUGAAUGCUAGCUGUCCGGUUCUACGGGACUGG
This 643-nucleotide ribosomal RNA is filed under the name uncultured bacterium. Its description in RNAcentral is "bacterial SSU rRNA". It matches the Rfam family "Bacterial small subunit ribosomal RNA", at positions 202 to 842 of the family's 1533-position model. The record is from RNAcentral.